GUUGAUUGUUUGGUUGCAAAUUUUGGGUUUAGCAAUAAAUUGUUUAGAGUAUGAAAUAUUCUUUGGAGAUGUACCUAUUGUUAGAUUAUGUACUAUAUUGACAAUGGGUUCUUUUAAUUAGUUUGGAUUAUUAUUGAGAGGACAUGGAAUAUAUAUAUUAUGAUAGAAUAUUUGAUAAUCUAAAUUAUCAUCUUUGUAUCAAUC
Molecule: long non-coding RNA, 204 nt
Filed under: Elaeis guineensis (African oil palm)
Lineage: Eukaryota; Viridiplantae; Streptophyta; Magnoliopsida; Arecales; Arecaceae
Description: long non-coding RNA (EGUI_LNC079356)
Source: RNAcentral